UACGGAGGGGGCAAGCGUUGUUCGGAAUCAUUGGGCGUAAAGGGCGCGUAGGUGGUUCUGUAUGCCUACCGUGAAAGCAUACAGCUCAACUGUAUUUUGUCGGUAGAAACUGCAGGACUUGAGGCUGGGAGGGGCUGGUGGAAUUCCCUGUGUAGCGGUGAAAUGCGUAGAUAUCUGGAGGAACACCGGUGGCGAAGGCGGCAUCCUGGACCGGUAUUGACGCUGAGGCGCGAAAGCUAGGGGAGCAAACGGG
This 253-nucleotide ribosomal RNA is filed under the name uncultured bacterium. Its description in RNAcentral is "partial 16S ribosomal RNA". It matches the Rfam family "Bacterial small subunit ribosomal RNA", at positions 524 to 776 of the family's 1533-position model. The record is from RNAcentral.